AGAGUUUGAUCCUGGCUCAGAUUGAACGCUGGCGGCAGGCCUAACACAUGCAAGUCGAGCGGUAGCACAGAGAGCUUGCUCUCGGGUGACGAGCGGCGGACGGGUGAGUAAUGUCUGGGAAACUGCCUGAUGGAGGGGGAUAACUACUGGAAACGGUAGCUAAUACCGCAUAAUGUCGCAAGACCAAAGUGGGGGACCUUCGGGCCUCAUGCCAUCAGAUGUGCCCAGAUGGGAUUAGCUAGUAGGUGGGGUAACGGCUCACCUAGGCGACGAUCCCUAGCUGGUCUGAGAGGAUGACCAGCCACACUGGAACUGAGACACGGUCCAGACUCCUACGGGAGGCAGCAGUGGGGAAUAUUGCACAAUGGGCGCAAGCCUGAUGCAGCCAUGCCGCGUGUGUGAAGAAGGCCUUCGGGUUGUAAAGCACUUUCAGCGGGGAGGAAGGCGGUGAGGUUAAUAACCUCAUCGAUUGACGUUACCCGCAGAAGAAGCACCGGCUAACUCCGUGCCAGCAGCCGCGGUAAUACGGAGGGUGCAAGCGUUAAUCGGAAUUACUGGGCGUAAAGCGCACGCAGGCGGUCUGUCAAGUCGGAUGUGAAAUCCCCGGGCUCAACCUGGGAACUGCAUUCGAAACUGGCAGGCUAGAGUCUUGUAGAGGGGGGUAGAAUUCCAGGUGUAGCGGUGAAAUGCGUAGAGAUCUGGAGGAAUACCGGUGGCGAAGGCGGCCCCCUGGACAAAGACUGACGCUCAGGUGCGAAAGCGUGGGGAGCAAACAGGAUUAGAUACCCUGGUAGUCCACGCCGUAAACGAUGUCGAUUUGGAGGUUGUGCCCUUGAGGCGUGGCUUCCGGAGCUAACGCGUUAAAUCGACCGCCUGGGGAGUACGGCCGCAAGGUUAAAACUCAAAUGAAUUGACGGGGGCCCGCACAAGCGGUGGAGCAUGUGGUUUAAUUCGAUGCAACGCGAAGAACCUUACCUGGUCUUGACAUCCACAGAACUUAGCAGAGAUGCUUUGGUGCCUUCGGGAACUGUGAGACAGGUGCUGCAUGGCUGUCGUCAGCUCGUGUUGUGAAAUGUUGGGUUAAGUCCCGCAACGAGCGCAACCCUUAUCCUUUGUUGCCAGCGGUCCGGCCGGGAACUCAAAGGAGACUGCCAGUGAUAAACUGGAGGAAGGUGGGGAUGACGUCAAGUCAUCAUGGCCCUUACGACCAGGGCUACACACGUGCUACAAUGGCAUAUACAAAGAGAAGCGACCUCGCGAGAGCAAGCGGACCUCAUAAAGUAUGUCGUAGUCCGGAUUGGAGUCUGCAACUCGACUCCAUGAAGUCGGAAUCGCUAGUAAUCGUAGAUCAGAAUGCUACGGUGAAUACGUUCCCGGGCCUUGCACUCACCGCCCGUCA
Molecule: ribosomal RNA, 1399 nt
Filed under: uncultured bacterium
Lineage: Bacteria
Description: bacterial SSU rRNA
Rfam family: Bacterial small subunit ribosomal RNA
Source: RNAcentral